GCAGACUUACUCUGUGCCUAACUGCAAACCUCCAGUAAUGGCACUUUUUCAGUCUGCUAUAGAAAAACCAGGAUUGUAUCUAUAUUGCUUUCUGUUUCAGGAAAGUUUUUUUAUGAUCUUGGGAUACACUG
Rana temporaria (common frog) is the source of this 131-nucleotide small nucleolar RNA. RefSeq annotates it as small nucleolar RNA SNORA77. The record is from RefSeq and is a predicted model, not a curated record. The transcript has a single exon. NCBI's taxonomy places the organism in Eukaryota, Metazoa, Chordata, Amphibia, Anura, Ranidae.